This 443-nucleotide ribosomal RNA is filed under the name uncultured bacterium. Its description in RNAcentral is "partial 16S ribosomal RNA". It matches the Rfam family "Bacterial small subunit ribosomal RNA", at positions 338 to 795 of the family's 1533-position model. The record is from RNAcentral.
CCUACGGGAGGCAGCAGUGGGGAAUAUUGGACAAUGGGGGGAACCCUGAUCCAGCGACGCCGCGUGAGUGAAGAAGUAUUUCGGUAUGUAAAGCUCUAUCAGCAGGGAAGAAAGAAAUGACGGUACCUGACUAAGAAGCCCCGGCUAACUACGUGCGAGCAGCCGCGGUAAUACGGAGGGGGCAAGCGUUAUCCGGAUUUACUGGGUGGAAAGGGAGCGUAGACGGCGAUGCAAGUCUGAAGUGAAAGGCGGGGGCCCAACCUCCGGACUGCUUUGGAAACUGUAUGGCUGGAGUGCAGGAGAGGUAAGUGGAAUUCCUAGUGUAGCGGUGAAAUGCGUAGAUAUUAGGAGGAACACCAGUGGCGAAGGCGGCUUACUGGACUGUAACUGACGUUGAGGCUCGAAAGCGUGGGGAGCAAACAGGAUUAGAUACCCUUGUAGUC